This 203-nucleotide ribosomal RNA is filed under the name uncultured bacterium. Its description in RNAcentral is "partial 16S ribosomal RNA". It matches the Rfam family "Bacterial small subunit ribosomal RNA", at positions 1297 to 1500 of the family's 1533-position model. The record is from RNAcentral.
AUUGCAGGCUGCAACUCGCCUGCAUGAAGUUGGAAUUGCUGUAAUCGCGAAUCAGAAUGUCGCGGUGAAUACGUUCCCGGGCCUUGUACACACCGCCCGUCACACCAUGAGAGUCGAUAACACCCGAAGCCUGUGAGCUAACCGCAAGGAGGCAGCAGUCGAAGGCGGGGUUGAUGAUUGGGGUGAAGUCGUAACAAGGUAGC